UCUUCCCUCUUUCUUCGUGCCUAAUACAUGCAAGUCGAGCGAACAGAUAAGGAGCUUGCUCCUUUGACGUUAGCGGCGGACGGGUGAGUAACACGUGGGUAACCUACCUAUAAGACUGGAAUAACUCCGGGAAACCGGGGCUAAUGCCGGAUAACAUGUUGAACCGCAUGGUUCUACAGUGAAAGGCGGCUUUGCUGUCACUUAUAGAUGGACCCGCGCCGUAUUAGCUAGUUGGUGAGGUAACGGCUCACCAAGGCAACGAUACGUAGCCGACCUGAGAGGGUGAUCGGCCACACUGGAACUGAGACACGGUCCAGACUCCUACGGGAGGCAGCAGUAGGGAAUCUUCCGCAAUGGGCGAAAGCCUGACGGAGCAACGCCGCGUGAGUGAUGAAGGUCUUCGGAUCGUAAAACUCUGUUAUUAGGGAAGAACAAAUGCGUAAGUAACUGUGCGCGUCUUGACGGUACCUAAUCAGAAAGCCACGGCUAACUACGUG
Molecule: ribosomal RNA, 497 nt
Filed under: uncultured bacterium
Lineage: Bacteria
Description: partial 16S ribosomal RNA
Rfam family: Bacterial small subunit ribosomal RNA
Source: RNAcentral